Molecule: long non-coding RNA, 13330 nt
Filed under: Olea europaea subsp. europaea
Lineage: Eukaryota; Viridiplantae; Streptophyta; Magnoliopsida; Lamiales; Oleaceae
Source: RNAcentral
AAAAAAGCAUAAAUAAUUAAUUAAGCCCUUGUUUGAUUCCCAUUAUUUUCAAAAUGCAUUUUUUUCUAUUGUUUUCAACCACGCAUUCUUCAAUAAAAUAAUAUUAGACGAAAACCCACAACUUUAUUUUAUUUUUUAACCACACAUUUUUCAUCAAUCUAUUAUUCUAAAAUGGAUUCUUACAAUAAAAUUGCCUCAAACAGGCUCUAAAAAAUCAAAAUUAAAACAAUAAAAAUCACUUUGUUUCAUUUUUUUUCUUCCACCACCACGGUUUUACUGCCUCAAUCUCCUAUCAAAUUGGAGAAUGUUCCAAAUUUAGUGAUAUAUCCUCGAGUCCAUGACCUAGCCUUCCCAUUUUCUUUCUUGAAAGGGGCGAUUUUUACCCCUCCAUGGAGCCGCCACCAAUUCCCCUCAAAUCUACAGUGUUGAGCUGCUAAAUCCACCGGAAUUUGACCCCUUCACCAACGCCAAUAAUCCCUCAAUCCAUCAAACCAAACAAUUACACAAACAGCUACAAAUCCGACACUAAAUCAGCCCCACAUAUACCAAGAACCACGGUGUGGGCAGUUUGUGACCGAAAUUGGAUGAAUUUGGUUGUUAAUUGGGCAAUUAAAUUGACACCCACUUUUGUGUGAUGUUGAUGAGGAUUAACAUGCGGCAAAUUAUUUGAACCAACACCCCCAAACCCAUGAAUUGAAAUAGGCACACUGGCCACAAUUUUUGCGCACAACAAGAGGAAAUUCCAAGGCAUAUCAUCAUCAAAUUGUAUUAUUAUUAUUAUUAUUAUUAUUAUUAUUAUUAUUAUUAUUAUUAUUUGUGAGACGACCGUGGGUAACGACGAAAUUGGUAAAAAAGUCGUGUGGUUCUUGGUGUAUUUGGGGCUGAUUUUGAGUCGAAUUUGUGGCUGUUUGUGUAAUUGUUUAGUUAUGAUGGAUUGAUGGAGUAUUAGGUGGAUGGGUGAAAUUCCAGUUGUUUCGGCGGUAGCAACAUGAUGAAUUUGGGAGGAAUUGGAGACGGAUCCAUGGAGGGCAAAAAUCGCCCUUUUGUAAAAAGAAAUGGGAAGGCUAGGUCGAUUCCAAGACAUAUCACUAAAUUUAGAUCAUCCUCAAAUUUGAUAGAAGAUUGAGGAAGCAAAUGUGAUGGUGGAAGAGAAAGAAAGAAGUGAUUUUUGUUUUUUAAUUAUUUAUUUGUACUUUUUUGAAAUUUUUGGGAGUGUAGCUGUAAUUUGUUUUUUAUUUUUCAUUUCUUUACUUUUUGUUUUAUUUAAAUAAGAGGGUAUAUUCAUCAUUUUAUAACUUUUAGUUGAAAAAUGGAUAAAAAUGAUUAUUUCCAAUAUGAAGGAUGAAGAUGCCAAAAAAUAAAAGGUAGAGAUAUUUUUCACAAUAAUAUUGAAAUGCAAAAUGUUUUGUGCUAAGUACCCUAUAUUUUAAUCCUCAUCUAACCUCACCUCAUCGCCAUAAAAUUUUUAGUAGGGCGAGAACACGGAGUGCCACCUCGUCCCAUUGCUGCACCUUCGUUAGCGCCCCUUCAUAUUUUGGUGCCAUCCCAUUACUUCAUGAUCACUUAUUGAUCCCGAUUACAUAAUUUAAGGGGGUGUUUGAUAGUCAUUUUUAUGUAAAAAUGCAUUUUAGAAUAGUAAACUGAUGUGAAAUGUGUAGUUGAAAAAUAAGGAAAAGUUUUUAAUUUACGUGUAAUAUUAUUUUAAUAAAGAAAGUGCCGUUGAAAAGAAGAAAGAGAAAAAUGCAUUUUGAAAAAAAUGGCUAUCAUACGGGGCCUAAGUUUGUUCCAACCGUCGCGUAAGCCCGAUACAGAAGAUAGGCUGGUUCACUUGAAGAGAUUCUUUUCUAUGAUCAGACCGAAUCAUGUUGUACAUGAGAGCUCGGAUCGAAUCGGUAUUGAUAUACCGAUUCGAUCCGAGCUCUUGGAAUUGGAAUAAGUUCAGCUCGAAUGACCCCUUGAGAAUGUAUAUAACCCUAUUCCGGUCUGGUCCGGUAUGGAAUGAACUUAUAAUCAGCUCAAUACCGUCAAGAAUUCCUGACUAUUGCAUGAGAACAGGUUCAUCUUUCAUGGCCACAUAUCUUUCCGGCUAAGGAAUGGGAAAUCUUUAUCCUGUUACAUGAAAGGAACAUAGGAGUUUGUCGCUAGAUAUUUGACCAAAUAGGAUCGUCCAAUUCCUAUAGAACCUAUCACUAAAAUCCCUAUUUUUUAAUUAAGAUGUAAACAUCUUUUGUAUAACAACAUCUUUUGUAUAACACACUUUCUUUAACCAGAACUCCCCCUUAAAACCUCAGUUAAGGCUAAUGUACAAUGUUUUCUACGAUGAUGACGUGUCAUUCGGGAAGCUAUUUUGCUCAAGUUAUUUGGUUCUUAAAUUUUACCAUUAAAAGUUCCAAAAAAAAAAAAAUAUAAAUAUAAAAUAUAAAAUAAAAAGUAAAUAAGGCCCUGUUUGAUUGAGCAUCUUUUUUAUGGAAAAUGAAGAAUUUUUUCUAUUUUCCACCUUUUGGUAGUAUUUGAUAGCAAAUAUUUUCCAUGGAAUUUAUUUGCUUGGUUUUCUUGAAAAGUGGAUGGUGCGAAUUGGUUUUCUAUGUAGGCUGCCAAUAUUUAUUACUUUUUUUUUUAUGCAAUGGAAACAAAUUCUAUCCCUAAUUGUAAAAAAAAAAUUAUUUUAUUGACAAUUUUCAUAUAAAACAAAGACAAACAAACACCAAAAGAUAGAUGAUUUUCUUGAUUUUUUUUAGGCAAUGGAAACAAAUUUUAUUCCCAAUACCAGUAAAUUAUAUUCCUUUAAUUAACAAUUUGCAUGUAAAAUAAAGCUAAACGAACACCAAAAAAUACUUUUAUUUCAACAUUUUUCAUAUGAAAAAUUAUAUCAAUCAAACACAAUAAUUGAAAAUUCUAAAUAAAAUAAUUUUUAGACAAUUCAAUUCCCUAAAAUUCGUUUUCUACCCACUCAAAUUUCAUUUUUGCAAUCAAACGGACCCUAAUAGUCUAAAAAUAUAAAUACCUUCAAAUUUCUUAAUUUCAUUUGUUAAGGCUCAGAAUUCUGUUCGACAUGUUGGCGAUGUGAUUUGAUAUGUAGUGGUCUUUGCACUAAAGUAACUGAUCAAAAAUGAGAACUAAGAAGAUAACAGAAUACAAGAAAACACAGUGAGAAUCAAAAUCUCUUUUCCAAUAUUCUAUAUAUUUAAUGAAUGUAUUGCUUGUACGUCGAUUCCACUUAUAGAAUUAGCUAUCAUUAUCAAGCUGCCAGCUACAAUUCAACUAAGUGUAUUGUGACAACUAACUAUUCAACUAAUACCUGUAACUAAUUAUUCCAGUUCAACUUUUCAAACUAACUUCAACCAACUGCAUCUUGAGGUCCAGUUCCAGCUCCAGCUCCAGCUCUAGAUUCAGCUGCAGGCUUUGCUAUAACAGAUUGCUGACUCGUAACAUCCCCCUUCAAGAUGGAAUUGUGCAAACCCAUGAUUCCCAUCUUGUUAAGUAGGAAAGAUAAUUGUUCUGCUCCUAAAGAUAGAAUGUCUGCAAGUAGUGUUUAGAAGAAACAUAAACUGUUUUAAUUAUAGUUUUUUUCUCAAGUAUGAUAAUCUAUAUCUAUGUAUUUCGUCCUCUCAUGAAAAACUGGAAUGGGCCAUGUGGUUGCAUUAUUGUUGCAAUGUAUUAAUGUAGGCUUCAAAUGGUCUUCAACAAGGUAUUUAAGUAUUUCUGAUAGCCAAAUCACUGCACAGUACAUAGUAGCUAUUGUUAUGUGCUCAGCUUCUGAUGAUGACCUUGAUAUUGUCGUUUGCUUUUAGAUUUCAAUGAAAUCAGUGCUUCUCUUAAAAAAAAACACAGUACCCUAUCACAAAUCACUUGCUUUCUAUGCGCCCUGCCCAAACUACAUCGCAAAAGGCCUUUAAUUGUAGAUUAGAUGUUCUUGGCAAAAAAAUUCUUUGAGCUGUGUAUGCUUAAUAUAUUUCAGAAUUCUAUGAGUUGUAUUGAAUCCAAGUGAGGCGAUCUUGGUUCUUGCAUAAACUGGCUAAGUGUCUAAAUAACAAAAGCUAAGUCAGGUCUCAUAAUAGUUAGGUAUAUUAACAUAACUAUCAGUCUUCAAUACCAUACAAGAUUGGAUAAUAGCUGCCCCUCUUCACGAGACCAUUCAAAUUCUGCUCCGUAAGAAAUUAAGAAAGAUGGGCACUAGUAAAGCCAAACAUCAAGUGCAUACUUGCAUUGUGAAAUAGAAAAACCAGUAGAAGAUCGAGCAAUUUCCAGACCUACAAAAAUAUCUGAUAGUGCCAAUAUCUUUGAUUUUAAAAGAUGAAUGUAAAUAAGUUUUGAGAGCAAAAAUGGAAACCAGAUUAGGACUCGUAACAACUAUGUCAAUGACAUAAAAUAGAAACACCAUGAAUGUAAUAGAAUUAUGCAAAGUGAAUAGAAUAUGUUCAUGUUGGUACUGAGUUAAACCAUAGAGCAGUGCAAAUCGAGUAAAUUUGACAUUUCACUGUCUAGAGGCCUGCCACAGGCUAUAAAGGGACGUUUGAGUCUAAAAACUGUAUUGGGAAUAGAAGAAGAGUAACUAGGUUGUAGACUCACGAAACUUCCUCAUCAAAUUCACUAUUAAAGAAAGCAUUAUCAACAUUGAGCUGAUGCACAUGCCAAUUUCAAGCUGCAGAAAUAGCUAGUAGUGUUCUCACAGUGACCGGCUUGGCAACAUACAAGUAAAAAAGUGUCUGAAAAAUCCAAACUUUCUAUCGUGUAGCUACUAGUCAAGCUUUAUGACGCUCUAUUUUCCCAUCAAAUUUAAAUUUGACUUUACGUACCCAUCGACAUUGAACUGAUUUUUUACGAGGAGAUAGAGUAGUAAAUUCCCAAGUCUGAUUUGCUUCAAGAGCGUCUAUCUCAGCUUGCAUGGCCUUUUUCCAGUGCUCAAAUUUUAUAGCUUUGUAAUUGUGCGUAGGCUCAAAGGUAGUAGAAACAGAGACAAAGAUUUGAAAAAGAAGGUGAUAACUUGCUAUACUGUACAGAUGUAGCUAAAUCAUGAGAAGUACCAACACUAUGUGAACCACUAGAACACAUGGAACGAGGUUGAGCUGAAGAAGAAGUAAGAAAAUUUCAGUGAUACUAUUCAAGGUAACUAAGAUUCCUAACUCUAGAAGACCUACAUUCUAAAAUUCCAGAUUAGUAAUAAAAAGUUACAAACAAAAGAAAUGCCUUGAUUACUUUGAUACGUAUUUUUCAGUGACGAGAAUAACAUCCAUUAGGUUGAUACUUGCGACUGUCGCUUUACAAAAUCUUGAAAUACAACAACUAGAUGUUAAAACUGCAUUUCUAAAUGGAAAUUUAGAAGAAGAAAUCUAUAUGGAACAACCCGAGAGGUUUUCGUUACCAGGGCAGGAAAAUAAAGUUUAUAAAUCACUAUAUGGCUUAAAACAAGCACUCAAACAAUGGCAUGAAAAAUUUGAUAAUGUCAUGAUAGAGAGUGGAUUUAAAAUCAAUCGGUGUGACAAAUGUGUUUACAAACACUAAAGAUGGUUAUGUCAUUUUGUGUCUUUACGUUGACGACAUGCUUAUUGUUGGUAGUGACAAUAAGAUGAUUGAAUCCACUAAAAAUAUGUUGAAUUCGAGAUUUGACAUCAAAGAUAUGGGUUUAGUUGAUGUUAUACUUGGAGUCAAAAUCUCAAGAACAUCAGAUAAACUUGUUCGAAGUCAGUCACAUUAUAUGGACAAAAUUUUGAAAAAGUUCAAUAAGGAUGAUACUGGCUUGGCUAGAAUACUAAUAGAUACAAGUCAACAUCUAUCUAAAAAUAAAGGUGAAAGUGUCUCUCAAGUAGAAUACUCGAGAGUUAUUGGAAGUCUAAUGUACUUGAUGAGUUGUACAAGACCAGACAUAGCCUACACAGUCAGUAAACCGAGCAGAUACACGAGUAAUCCAGGAGCUGAUCAUUGGAAAUGAAUAGUAAGAAUACUAAGGUACUUAUGAUAUACUCGUAACUAUGGAAUCCAUUAUAUCAAAUAUCCAGCGGUCAUUGAAGGAUACAGUGAUGCUAAUUGGAUAUCUGAUAUAAAAGACUCAAAAUCCACCAGUGGAUUUGUGUUCACAUUGGGAGGUGCUGCCAUAUCGUGAAAAUCCUCUAAGCAAACAGUUAUAGCCAGAUCUAUGAUGGAAUCUGAGUUUAUAGUUUUAGAUAAAUGUGGUGAAGAGGCCGAAUGGUUGCGCAGCUUUUUAGAGAAUAUUCCAAGAUGGUCAAAAUCUGUGCCAUAAUUUGCAUAUAUUGUGACAGUCAAUCAGCAAUAGGAAGGGCACAGAGUAAUAUGUACAAUGGUAAGUCUAGACAUAUACGUUGUAGACACAAUACCAUAAGACAACUACUCUCAACUGGAGUUAUCAUUAGUGACUAUGUAAGAUCAAAAGAUAACAUUGUCGAUCCGCUAACCUAAGAGUUAAACAGAAAGUUAGUUGGGAAAUCAUCGAAAGGAAUGAGACCUAAGUCCUUGAAUGAAUAAGUCAUUACAAAGGAAACCCAACCUAGUUGACUGCAGAUCCCAAGAUCUAGGUUCAAAGGGACAACCUAAUUGUAAAGGCUUAAUAAAAUCACUGUGGGGUGUAUCCUCAUGUCCAUUCCUAUGAUGUAACAGUGAUGCCCGUGAGGAUGAAGGAUAAGCAAUAGACUUUUAAUGAUUCUUAUGCAUCGAAGUUCGAGCCAAGUAAUGCGGGUUACUAGUAAUAAGAAAUCACCUAUAUGAGAAAGAAGUGGGGCCGCUUAUAAGAGAAUUGUGUAGGGCUCAAUUAUUAAGAACUCUCACAGAACCAGGCAUAUGUUCAUGGUCAAAAUGAACAUAAUAAUGAGAAUUGAAUUGUGUUAGGAAGAAUCUUGUGUGGAGUAUAUCAUCGUUUACAUAAAUGGUAGAACAGUUCAAGGACAACACGUCUACUGGUCAGCCAGUAAAGUAAAUAUGCUUUCAUAAGGGAAGGUUCAAAGGGUAAUACAUACAUAUCCUAUGCAGGCUUCAAUCGUUGAACUUUAUCAGCUAGUCUUGAGUCUCACGGUCACCAAGUCUCGUGUCUCACGGUUUCAUGUCUCUCCCAAUUUUUAUUCAUGUGGGGGAUUAUUGGAAAAAAAUGAGUACAUGGCUCACUUUUGGAAAAAAAAAUUGGUGGGACCCGUUGGUCCAAUUUGGAAGAUUGAAAUUGAUCCUUUUUCUCCUCUGUGAGAGCAUUGAAGCCAUAUAUUUAUUUGUCAAAAUUGAUGAAUGGAUGAAUGAGAAAUUGGAACUCAAAGAUGACCAUUGGAAGAUGGUUAUGUGGGAAAAAUUGAAGUUGGUCCCACAUAGGAAAAAUAUGAAAGCAAGAACCACUUUAAAUAUGGUUGCACAUUAGAAGGGUGUAAUCAUGUGUAGCAUAGAGGCUCUCUCCACGUGUGUGCGCAGGGGGGUGCAAAUCUCGGAUCGAAAUUGCUUUCGGACCUUGAACUUGUGUAUGGGCGUGACCUGAGUAUACGAAUGUCGGACCGAACGGAGCAAAAAUUGGCCCCUCCAAAGAGCCCAUGUUUUGCAAUUCUUUUUGUUUUCUCCACUGACUUUAAAGUUUCUGAAACUUCCAAAACUCCCAAAAAUUGAAAUGACUCCAAUGUUAAUUGCCAUAGAGUUAAUGGCAAAAUUAUACUAUAUUAAAUCUCAAGUUUUCCAACAAUAAAACAUAUGAAAAAUCUCACCAGGAAAACACACGAAUUCUCUCUGCACAAAAAUUCCCAGAUUCUCUCGUCGUCUUCUUUCUGUCCAGUGAAAUCGUCGAGGUGGUGAUACUGUUCAGACACUAAAACGGUUCGUCGGAAUAGUUUCUGUAGUGCUCAGAUUCUACUGGUUUUGCUGUUGUAUCCUGAGAAACAGAUGCUCAAACUAAACCUCAAACACUUAUGGUGAGGGGCGAAUCUGUUUUAAGGAAACUGUGUUCGCACAGGUCUCGGGUUGAAAAUUUAUUUACUAUUUAUUUAGUUUGUAUUUUAUUCUUGCAGAUUUAUUUAUUUAGCGAUUUACACAUCUCAUAUAUUGUUUGUUAAAUUUAUGUUAGAAAUAUAUUUCUAAAAGGAAGAUAAAAUAAAAUAAAUGUUUUUUUUUUUCAAUUCGUUAUAUGUGUGAAAAUUAGAUUUUACAUAUACGGUAUUUCUAUUUGUAAGUAAAAAAUUUGUGUUAUUUUAGUUAGUGUAUGAAUAAAAAACACUUUGUUCAAAUUUUGUACAAAUACGGUGAGUUUCGCCUGCAAAUACAGUGAGCUGCCAUAUACGGUGAGCUUUCUACAAAUACGGUAGGCAGCAUAUACGGUAAGCUGCAAAUACGGCAAGCUGCCUGGAUGCCAUAUACGGUAAAUUGAGCUGCUAAAUACGAUAAGCAAUUGCCAAAUACGGUAAGCGUGAAUCCGGUGUCUAAAUCACAUAUACGGUAUAUGAGAACCCGAUUUCACUCCAGACACUACCAAUUAAAUUUACCAACAAAAAGGGAAGAAUUAGAGUCCUGUUGUAAGUCAAAUUGGAUGGUUGAAGGAAAACAUUAGGCGUGCUUUGGCUGCUGUGGCACAGAAGUCGGCAGUAGCUUGGAGAAAAAAAAGGGAAUUUGCGGUGCAAGGUUGAAAUAUAUACACACAAUCAAAAGCCAAGGCAGAGAGGAAUUGGAGUGGCAGUUUUGGACCACAUUGACGGCUGCUGUUGCAUUAAAAGAUAAUUACACACAAGAAAACAGCAAAAAAGUCGGAGGUUGCGUUUGGGUUGGAAAACAGAGAAAACAUAUACACGCAGAAGAUGGCACAUGCUAUUGAAAUUAUUCAUGUUUCGUCAAUUUCUCAGUGAUGUAUUUUCAGUUUUAUUUGUUUAAUUCCAACAGUAUGCUAAGCUAAUUCCUCUCAUGUAUUCAAUGAAGAUGAAACCAUUUAUUAUUUAUUUUUGAUUCAAGACAAGUAGUUUAGUUAAAUUCUUGCAAUUCUUGAUUAAUCUUCCAUGCUUAAUUUUAUUAUUUGAUUGCUUGAUCACCAAUUAAACAUAUUGUUACUUGUUGUAUUGUUGGGAGGCUCGGUCUAGAACACUGCGUGAUUAAUACAUGUGCAAUAAAUUUUAGGAAUAAUAUUUACCACUGUGAAAUUUUUGGGAUAAUUGUAAAAUUGAAUGCGAUCUAUUCAUUUGAAUUCGAACUAAAAAUAGAUUCGGGUCGCGAUUAUGAUAGAUUUAAUUUGUUUUGGAAAAGAAAAUUAAUUACAAUAGAAUUACCGAUUGUCAAGAAUAUAUGAACGAAGCUAGUUGCGUAGUCAAGAAUUGGAAUAGAUAAUAAUAGGUGGAUUCGUAAUCCAAUACACUAUUCCCAUACAUAUAUAAAACUCGUAUUUUACAAGCUUUCGUAUAUUACUUUAGAAUAAUAAAAAAAUCACAGUCACUUUCAUUUUGCUUACUUUGAAUCUAGUUAAAGACUAUUACACUCUAUUAAAUUUUAAUUUUCGUGGGACGAUACUCUUAACUCACUCAAAUCUAUUACUUGUCAACGAUCUCGCACGCUUGCGGAUUUCACAAGAACACUUACAUGACUUAAAACUUGGUGGAAAACCAAUAAUCAUAAAGCACUUGUCAGUUGUGUGAGAGGUAUAACCAUGUUCAGUACAAUACAAAUAUUUUUUUCGAGGACCAUAUGGCUGCUUGAAUAAACUAGAGGAACCAAAUGAGUAUUGAGGCAAAGAAGGACUAAGUGUUGUCUUGCUAGCCAUAGCAGCAGAUUCAAAAUGAGGAAUAGAGUGACCAAUAUUUCUUUGAGUUCAUUCUUGCGGAAUUAUAGAGAAAAUUUUGUUGAGGGAAGGCAAGGGUUUAGAUAGCAGUAUUUGACAUAUUAAUGUAGCAAAUCUCUCAUUCUGUCCCAUAAAAAUGCUGAAUGUAAUCUUGUUGAUGAUAUUCCAAUAGAGUUUUAACACUGAAAUAUCAAAGUUGGACCCAACUAACAAUAGAGGAGGUAAAUAGGUGUUUUAUACAGAAUUUAAUCUUAUCAAUAUUUAAAGCAGCAGGUCAAUAUAGAUAUUUAAUUAAACGAAUUCACAUGCAAUUCUAACCUAGAUGUUGCAUUACUACAAUUUGUAAUUUUCAAAAAAUAAAUAACACCAAGGAAUUGAUAACGGAGAAAAACUCCUUGUAGGAUCAAAAAACUUUGGGCAUAUUACCCAAUAAAAUUCAUUAUAGACGAAUUAACUUAUAGUAAAAUCUAGACUUGACUAGCUCCUAGUACAUUCUCUAAUAACUAAGGCCCUCUUAAACUGCGUGCUCUUACACCAGCUCUUGACCUUUGGAAUUGUCUAUCUUCUAUGGAUCACCGAGAAUUAGGAUUGGCAACGGGGCGGGAUGAGUUCCCCGUUCCCCACCCCCACCGGGCAUUUCCUGCCUCGGACCCUCCUUGUUAUCCCUUUAAGGCGGGGCAGGGCGGGACGAUAGCCCUGUUUAUGUAGCCUUUUUUUUUUUUAAUAGUUUUGUAUAAUUCAUUUUCCUGCACCCCUUCAUUCAAGUGAGAUAAUAAUAUAGUUAUUAAAAAUUUAAUUAAUUAAUUUAUAUUUAAAAGUUAAAUUAUUCGAAUAUAUUUGGUAAAUUAAGAUUUUUAUUAUUUGUUGUAUUCCUUAGAUAAUCUUAGUUGCAAUCUUCUACUAGAAUUAAUGAAAUUUCGUGGAAUUUUUUUUUGAAGUAUUGAAUUCUUAAAAAAGUAAAACUAAGUGGGGCCCGUUACCCGUACUCGAUCGAUUACCUAAUUAAGUGGGUAGUCUUCGUUCCAUUUGGGGCGGCCACAGGGGUAUUGAAUUUGACGGAUAUUUUUGUCAUCCCUACCGAGAAUUCCCCCGUUCUCCUCCUACCGGAACUUCAACCACCUUUCUAAAUCUUCAGCACUUUUUGAUAGAUAUAUAGGAAAUGGAGGGUUUGGUGUUUCGAGAAUAUGAAUUUGAUGUUUUCAAUAUGUGGUUGAUUGAUCUCAUUGUAGGGAAUUGAUGUAGAAUCUCCAACAGAUGAAUUAUGGGAAGAAUAUAAUGAUCAAUCACACCUACGGACAAAAUAUAACUUAGGUAUAUAUAGUAGACGGUGUUUGGGGUUGUCUAAAACUCAAAAAAAACGUUUAAAACGCGAUUUACAAUUUUCCCCAAAAUAACUGGAGCUCAAGCAAUACCUCGACGCCAAACAAGUGCCGGGCUUUCGAUCGAGUGAAACACCGGCAUUAGGCAGACAUUAUGCUCACUGUUUUGGACGCUCAAGCAUGAUCUUGGCAUUGAGCAAGCAUUAGUGCAACGACUUUAUCUCUUUGUUUCAUACUCGAACCCAAAAAUUCCUAAUUGAUCUAGACAACCUCCCCCAAUGACUUUUUAACUUUUUUAACUUUAAUUUUGUCCAGAGAAUUGCCAGUUACAAUAAAUCUAAUAAAGACUAGGACUAGAAUCAACAGGUAGGGGUAGAUAAUUGAACUAUUCAUCCCACAAGGUUUUGAACGUGGUGAAAUAAUUAGUCACUGAUGAAGACCCUUGAUUAACAGCACAGAUCGACUUUUACAGUUGAAAGAUUUAUGGAGAAUUGCCUUGACUAUACCUCUCUUCGAGUUCUUUUCACAGAUCAGAUGCAAUAGCAAUAUAAAGAACACUAGCAGCAAUAUCUUUACUUAAGGAGUUUAAGAUCCAAGAGCAAACCAUAUCAUUACAACGAAUCCAUGCUGGAUAAGGAGGAUCAGUUGUAGGCUUUGAAAGAUCUCCAUUGAUAAGGCCAAGCUUGUUCUUGGCAGAGAUGGCCAUGGACAUAGAUCUCUUCCAAGGAAAAUAGUUGCAUUCAUCGAGAACUUAAAGAAACCCAUACAGCACCANGUAUGACGGUGCACAUGCAGCCCAUUAAUAGACAAGUUGAAACAUAUUUUUGAAUACUUUAGUGUAAUAUACGCAUAAUGUAACAUGGUUUUCUUUCUAACCUGUAACAGAAAACAUUUCUCUUGUUUCUACGUGCAUGUGUUGUAAUAUAGCUACGCCUUUAAGCAAACUUUCUUGAACAAAAGAACAUGCUAUGGUGAUCAAAUGGGACCCCAUUGUGUCUUUUUGAAACACACACACGUUGGCAAAAUUAGCCCUUUUUCCUUUCUGAAUUAUAUAUGAAAAAUUAAUUAGCUAAUCAAUAAUCUGAAAUUUUUAUAACUGACUAAAAUUAUCGAUCAAAUUUGCCAAAUUUCGUUAGCAGGUGUUUGGAUUUGUGGUUUGGGGAUGAGAUUCAACACUAAAAAAAGCGACCUCGUGCUAAGAAGUUGUAUUAACAAAAUUUAAAUGACGAAACUUUUGGAUGCUAUUUUCAUGGUCAAUAAACAUCAUCGACAACGUUAAUUUUGUAAUGAAGUUGGGUGAGUAUAGACGGAAGAAUCCUCCAUAUAACUUGGCGCGUGAAAAAAUCACCCACGGAGUGGUCAUACGAUUUAAUUAGGCCAUGGACAUUCUAUAGGGACAACAAAAUGUCUUGUCCAUGUCCUGCCCCUCGUUUUGUGUUUUCCCUCCCAAAAAAGAUCAGAGGGAAUCGAGGCAAGCACGGUGAACAUGGAAUGCACCUUGAUUAUUAUUUUCUAUUACAUUUACAUUUUUUAUGGUUAAAUCUUACCCUUUUUUUUAAAAGGUAUUAAAAAUUAACUAACUAAAUGGGAUGGUGGGGGGGGGGGGGGACAUAUUUUAGGUUAAUUAGCGCAAAUAGGCACACUGGCCACAAUUGAAAUAGGCACACUGGCCACAAUUUUUGCGUACAACAAAAGGAAAUACCAAGGCAUAUCAUCAUCAAAUUUUACUUUUUGUGAUGUUUCUUCACGAUUAUGGGUGACUAGAUAACAUGGAUUGACCAGCAAUAGAAGACGACCAUGGGUAAUGACGAAACGAUCGAAAUUGGUGAAAAAGCCGUGUGGUUCUUGGUGUAUUUGGGGCUGAUUGGGAGUCGAAUUUGUAGCUGUUUGUGUAAUUACUUGGUUGUGAUUGAUUGAGGGAGUAUUAGUUGGAGGGGUGAAAUUCCAACGGUUUUGGCGGUAGCAACAUGAUGACUUUGCGAGGAAUUGGAAAUGGCUCCACGGAGAGCAACCCCCCUUUGUAAAAUGAAAAUGGGAAGGCUAGGUCAUGGAUUCCAAGAUAUAUCACUAAAUUUGGAUCAUUCUUCAAUUCGAUAGAAGUGGUUGAAGAGAAAGAAAGAAGUGAUAUUUGUUUUUUUUAAUUUUGAUUUUUUAAUAAUUUGUUUGUAUUUUUUUUGAAAAAUUUGGGAGUAUAGUUACAAUUUGUUUUUUAUGUUUCUUUUUGUUUUAUUCAAAUAGAAGGGUAUAUUCAUCAUUUUAGAACUUUUAAAUGAGA